RNAcentral lists this long non-coding RNA (625 nucleotides) under Homo sapiens (human). RNAcentral's name for it is "RNASEH2B antisense RNA 1 (RNASEH2B-AS1)". The record is from RNAcentral. Lineage: Eukaryota; Metazoa; Chordata; Mammalia; Primates; Hominidae.
ACACGGGGGCUGAAAGGCCCGGCUCCAGCACUCCUGUGGUCAUCAUCCUGCUGAAUCGCUUUGAACUACCCUUGGCCUAACCGCGACUCCCAUCCCGCUUCCCUCCUGCCUCGCCACUGCAGGCCUGUCCCUUUGCUUUCUUAAAACUGCGCACCGUCUGAGGCCACUUCGAGCCUACUGGAUCCCUGGUUCCAACCCAGUAGGAUCACAGAAGCAGGGCCAGCUGCCAGGCUUCUGCAAAAGACUUGAGACAGCUCACAAUGAAGUACUCUGUAUUAGGCAGGGUAAUAUUGAUUGCAAGUGACAGAAACCCAAUCAGAAACUCACUGGAGUCAUGAGGAACACUUAUUGGCUCAGAGUAAAGGCAAAAUAGACCUUCAGAGAAAUAAAGUCUGGGAAAUUGACUAGAUCCUCACUGAAAGAACUACUAAAGGAUGUACUUAUGGAAGAAGAAAAUUACAAAGUGAAAGAACUGGGAUGCAAGAAGUAAUGGUGAGCAUGGAAUUUGGCAAAGAUUCAAGUAAAACAAAGCAAGGACUGAGUAUAUAAAAUCAUAAUCAUAACAAAUUUUGACUAUUAUAUGUAACAGCCAAUCUCUUAACUGGGUCAUAAUAAGAAAGUGAAA